This 23-nucleotide small nuclear RNA is filed under the name Arabidopsis thaliana (thale cress). RNAcentral describes it as "snRNA_16005". The record is from RNAcentral. Lineage: Eukaryota; Viridiplantae; Streptophyta; Magnoliopsida; Brassicales; Brassicaceae.
AUCGAUUUAAUUAAAUAUUUACA